RNAcentral lists this ribosomal RNA (723 nucleotides) under Triticum aestivum (bread wheat). RNAcentral describes it as "partial small subunit ribosomal RNA". The record is from RNAcentral. Lineage: Eukaryota; Viridiplantae; Streptophyta; Magnoliopsida; Poales; Poaceae.
AUGUGGAAGCUGUCCUCCAACAAUCCGUCGGUCGCGUACUGGGAGUUUAAGCUUAAGGUGGACUUGACUGAUAUCUGGAGCCACCAGACCUACAAGUCUAGUAUGCUUCCGCAGAUCGUCCCCACGGUGGCGCUCGUCCACCCAAGGAAUGCCUACAAGGUUUACUUCUUCCUGGGCCAGCACAUCUUCUGUGUCAACCUGAAGAAAAAGAAACUGAUGCAGUGUCUGGAGUUGGACAAUCAGGAGCUGCCGUCACUCUCCUCCCUCGUGGUCCAUUCCUGGAAUUUGCCGGCAGGGACCACAAAAAUCCAUUCGUCUGGAACAUGUUUCAUGGGUUGCCGGCUUGUGGGGUCCACUGGAGUCAUCUUCCUCUGGGCUACCGCUAUUCCUGGCCUUCCGCUGCCACCCAUCAUCUUCUCUGCAAUAUGGCCCUCGGACCCCCUUACCUUAAUUAUCCGGAAAGAGAGGCCUGAUGAGUCUCACGCCCCUGGGGUUCAUUUCCUGGUUCACUAUAACUCGGUGGAUGGUUUUCUUGAGAAAGCAGUAGCUGUCAUCAGCAGGUCGCGUCCUGAAUUGUUUGGCAUGGGUCUGGAUGAACUUGAAGAAGACGAAGAUCACUCUCUUACCAUGGAGGAAUCUGAUGACGGAGAUGACUCUGAGAUGGAGCAACUUGAAGAGGGCGGAAAUGACUGCGAGAUGACUGAGGAAUCUGAAGAGGACUGA